This is a long non-coding RNA of Vigna angularis (adzuki bean), 670 nucleotides long. RefSeq lists it as uncharacterized. Lineage: Eukaryota; Viridiplantae; Streptophyta; Magnoliopsida; Fabales; Fabaceae. The transcript has 4 exons. The record is from RefSeq and is a predicted model, not a curated record.
ACCCUGUUGGUAGGUGAUUGUAGAUUCCUACACGAGUCAUGGACAAUGGGAGAGAGAACUUUAACAGAAGAAGUAUCUGCACUUCUACCAUUAUUUUGUGUUGGAUUCAGUGCUGCUGAUGGUGUGCUUGAUGCUUAUUCUUUGUGUUGAUUGCUGCUGUUCUUCAUAUUCAUUAUCAAUAACACUUCAAAUCACAAUGAUCAGUUAAAGGAGCGGCAAUGUGGAUUCAGUUGUUUCAUGUGCUAUUAAAUGAAACGUUUUAAGCCUGAGAAUGGGGCUUUAUUAUCGAAGGAUGAGACUAUUUCUGUGAACUUGUGCAUGUUGCUCCUGACAGAGGAGAUCAUGUUGUACGUUUUCCUAAAAGGAGAUGGUAAACCUUAAGGUGUAAUGCAGGUUUGCAACAAUUUAAGGAUGCAAAAUGACGGGGAUUCACUGGCAGGUUUCACCGAUAAGCUGCCAAGGUGUGGAAAGACUAGUACACCUGCCAUCCUCCACUAAAGAAGUUGUAUUUUGAAAGACUAGCUCCUAAAUUAGUUGGCUCUUUGUCCUCGCCAGCCAUAUGCUCUAUUUUGUUCAUUUGCAUUCAAAUCUAGGUUUUAAUGAUUCAAUUAUGUGUUGAUAUGUGAAUACAUAUUUUCUAUUUAUUAUUAUAAUAUUAUAUUUGUAAAUU